This is an RNA transcript of Corythoichthys intestinalis (scribbled pipefish), 5950 nucleotides long. It is a transcript of the gene named partitioning defective 3 homolog, with no coding region annotated. NCBI's taxonomy places the organism in Eukaryota, Metazoa, Chordata, Actinopteri, Syngnathiformes, Syngnathidae. The record is from RefSeq and is a predicted model, not a curated record. The transcript has 26 exons.
UCGCGAGCGAGCGCGGGAAGCGAAGGAAAAGGAGAAGGAGGAGGAUAGACAGAACGAGCUACACUAAACAGGUGGUCCGAGUCCGAAAGAGAGAGGGAGCGAGAGAGCAGGGGAACCACACAGCAAACAAUCAUGUCGUUUGGCGGCGGGGGAGGCAGAAAAACGCUUUAAAAGCCACGGAACGAAGUGAUCCAAGACACCCCACUUUGAUUCCCAUCGCCCCAUGCAGCUCGUGGACUUAUUCCGACACUUCUCGCCGGGCUCGGGAGCUUCGAGCGGGCGCGGAAAGACACCAUGAAAGUGACUGUGUGCUUCGGACGUACGCGCGUGGUCGUGCCGUGCGGGGAUGGUAACAUUCACGUGCACGCGCUCGUCCAACAAGCCGUCAUGAGGUACAAAAAGGCCAUCGCCAAGGAUGCCAGCUACUGGCUGCAGGUGCAUCGCCUGGAGCACGGUGACGGCGGCAUCUUGGACCUGGAUGAUGUGUUGUGCGAUGUCGCGGAUGACAAAGACCGGUUGAUCGCCAUUUAUGAUGAGCAGGAGCCCCACCAUGGUGGCGACGGCACCAGCGCCAGUUCUACGGGCACCCAGAGCCCGGACCUGUUUGCUACAGUUGACCUUGGUACGAACAGCGGGACCUCUGCCUUCCAGCCCUACCAGGCUGCUAGCGAGAUCGAAGUCACGCCGUCUGCCCUGCGCACCAACAUGCCCCUGCACGUUCGCCGCAGCAGCGACCCCGCCUUGCUGCGUCUAAACGGCCCAUUCAGCGGUGCCGAUUCACGGGUCCAAGCAGAAGAACCGCCGUCACGGAAGAACCCGAGCCGAUGGUCCACCACUGCCGGCUUCCUAAAAGCCCGCCACAACUCGGGCACCAGUAGCCUGGAAAGAAAGAAUAAAGGCUUGGACACGUACCGCAGCUUGCCACGGGAUGCUGGAACGUGGGCCAAUCAGCGGGAGUUUCAGAGAGAGACUGCACGUUCGUCCCUCAGUGCUCAUCACCCAAUGGUGGACCGAUGGCUGGAGAGGCAGGAACAGGAGGACGAAGCGAGAGAGCAAGAAAAUGGCCGCAUCGAACCGGUUGGCCGAGCAGACUCGUGCUUGGACCAAACAGCCAGAUCUCUCGAAGACAUAAUCAAAGUGGUGGAGGUGACAAAUGAUGGCGGCCCCCUGGGAAUCCACGUGGUGCCUUUCAGUGGCAGGGAUCGCAGGACUCUUGGCUUGUUGGUCAAGCGUCUGGAGCGAGGCGGCAAGGCCCAGCAGCAGGCCCUUUUCCAGGAGAACGACUGUAUCGUCAGAAUCAAUAACGGGGACCUGCGCAGCAUCCGCUUUGAACAAGCCCAGAACAUGUUCCGCCAGGCCAUGCGUUCUCCCGUCAUCAUGUUCCACGUGGUGCCAUCUUCGUUGAAAUCCCACUACGAGCAUCUGUCCCAGGCUGAGCGAAACCCGGCGUAUUCAUCGGGCCGCUUCAGCAGCGACCCAGUGUCUGGGGCCGCGGAUCUCGCGUCUCAAAGGAUGUCCCGUCACGGCUCUCAGAAGCACUCGCAUGCUCAAACGCAGCCUGAUCAGACGGACGGCUUCCCGCCCGUUGCUCACCCACCUGCCAUCUCGGCCGCCAAACCUCCCACCGGGCAGAUCCACUCGCCACAGAGGGCGCUGACAUCCACUCCAACACAAGGAUACAAGAAGGUCGGGAGGAGGCUCAACAUUCAGCUCAAGAAGGGGCCAGAAGGCUUGGGCUUCAGCAUCACGUCGCGUGACGUUCCCAUCGGGGGCUCAGCGCCCAUCUACGUUAAAAACAUCUUGCCUCGGGGUGCUGCCAUUCAAGAUGGACGCCUCAAGGCUGGGGACAGAUUACUUGAGGUGAAUGGCGUCGAUUUGAAUGGUCGCAGCCAGGAGGAGGUAGUGUCCAUCCUCAGAGCCACGCCAAUGGGGGGUACCGUGGGCCUGCUGGUUCUCCGCCAGGAAGACAACUUCCUCCCUCGAGAAGUGGGUGGCGAGAUUCAGAUGCAAAGCCCCAGAGAUUUGAAGCCAGAGGAGGAUGAGCUAGUGCUUACACCGGAUGGAACUCGCGAGUUUCUGACUUUCGAGAUUCCGCUCAGUGACUCAGGCUCAGCUGGCCUGGGCGUCAGCGUCAAGGGGAACCGGUCCAAAGAGAACCACGCCGACCUCGGCAUCUUCGUUAAAUCCAUCAUCAACGGAGGGGCCGCGUGCAAGGAUGGGCGCCUGCACGUGAACGACCAGCUGAUCGCCGUUAACAGCGAGUCACUGCUGGGCAAAACCAACCAGGACGCCAUGGAGACGCUGCGCAAGUCAAUGUCUACUGAAGGAAACAAGCGUGGCAUGAUCCAACUUAUCGUGGCCAGACGCCAUAGCAAGAGGAGCCAGGAGGCACCAGGGGGUCCACUAGGACCUCAGCAGAGCUCAACGUCUUUGUCUCUGGAUGAGCACGAGCGUCGUAUCUCCCACUCCUUGUAUGGUGCACUGGAGGAUCUGGAUGAUAACCUGAUGCCUCGACAUGGCGUGAUGCCUCGCACAGUUGGCAACUACCAGCUUUCCCCGACCGUCAACAUGCCGCAGGAUGACACGGUAAUCAUUGAGGAUGACGGGCCACCGGUCCUCCCUCCUCACAUGUCUGACCAGUCGUCAUCCAGCUCCCACGACGACGUAGGAGGAAGCAGUGGCUUCAACGCCAACGUAACGCCGUCCUGGGCUCAAGAGAUGCCUUCUCCCAAGGACAGUUCACAGACACCGGAAGAAAUCAAUGCCGCUGACGCUGCCUUCCAGCGGGAAGGUUUUGGCCGACAGAGCAUGUCAGAGAAGCGCACCAAGCAGUUUGGAGAUGCCUCACAGCUGGAGAUCAUCAAGACGCGCAAGUCCAAGAGCAUGGACCUAGUAGCCGACGAGAUUAACCUCAGCCUGCGGCCCGACGCCGGCACAGGUUCGUCCACAAAGGAUGUGGGUCCAUCCUUGGGGCUGAAGAAGUCGAGCUCUCUUGAGAGUCUCCAGACAGCGGUUGCCGAGGUGACGCUCAACGGCGACCUUCCUUUCCACCGGCCUCGUCCUCGCAUCAUCCGAGGCCGCGGCUGCAACGAAAGCUUCCGUGCCGCCAUCGACAAGUCAUACGACCGGCCACCUGCCGCCGAGGACGAUGAUGAGGGCAUGGAGACGUUGGAGGAGGACACCGAAGAGAGUUCUCGCUCGGGUCGAGAUUCUGUGUCCACUGUGGCCGAGCUGACACCGCUGUCGCCGGGUGGAGAAAAGACGACGAUGGUCAACGGCAAUGCAAGAGCCAAAGAUGACAAGAAAAAGGACAAAGGUGGCAAGGACAAGAAGAAGCCAGAUGUGCAGAAAGACAAAGAAAAAGAGAAGGAUAAGGGAAAAGCAAAAAAGGGAAUGCUCAAAGGGCUCGGAGACAUGUUCAGGUUCGGGAAGCACCGAAAGGAUGACAGGAUUGACCGCAAAGGUUCUAGCAAAUGGCGGCCAGAGGAGAUGCAAGUUUCUGACGAGGAGACGCUCAAGAUGAGGAUGGAGCAAGAAAGGAUCCAGGCCAAAACCCGAGAACUGCGUGAGCGUCAGGCGCGGGAGCGAGAUUACGCUGAGAUCCUGGACUUGAGCCGCUCGGGGGAGAGGUCUUCGGAGGAUGAGCACCUGUACGCCGGCAUCAGCCCGCUCAACAACGGCGGGCACAGCAGCCCCCGCAGUGACCUUGACCACUACCCCCGCUUACAGCACCAUCACGUACACCAGCACUCGGAUUCCCACUACACACAAGUCAGCAAGGCGCAACCGGAGAGACCCCCUUCUACUGACAGCAACCGUGUUGCCCCGAGCAACCACGACCGGAUACAGCGUCUAAGGCAGGAGUUCCAGCAGGCUCAGAACCUUCCGGACGAUGGCAGCGACACGGACGAGCGAAGACGCGCGUUGAGCUUCGAGCAGCCCUGGUCCAACGGCCCCGGCACAUCGACGGCAGUUGGGCAGCAACCAGGUCGUCACUCGGUGUCUGUGGAGGUCCAGAUGCAGCGUCAGAGGCAGGAAGAUUCCUUUGCUCAAGCUCAGCGGCAAUACAGCUCUCUGCCUCGGCAACCCCGUAAGAAUCCCGUCUCAAUCAAUCACGACCCUUGGGAGAAGUCGUACCAGAGUGGCGAGGUUUUCCGGACGGCCAAGGAUAAUCCUCGCUAUUCCAGCUACCAGGGUUCCCGCAACGGCCUCCCCGGCGUGACAGGCGUCAACGCCAGAGUCCUGCUGGAGGCGCAGGAGCUCCUCCGGCAAGAGCAGAGGCGGCGAGAGAUGGAGGCCAAGGACCGGGCCUCGCCACUAGCAUCGCCGCUGGCGUCACCCAAGGGCCCGUAUCGCCACGACGUGCCGCCGUCGCCCUCGCAGCUGGCCAGACUCAAUCGCGUCGGCUCGGAGAAAGGUCGACUCUUUUAUUCCUGAGGGUCGGCGUCCGAUCAACUCCUCUGCGGCGCCGGUGCCUUGUUUUAAUUUUCUUCCUGUAAGACGAGAAAACAAUACUGCCUUCCUGCAAAGAUAGCGCUUCUUCGCUAAGAUUGUCCUUAUUUGGUCAACUUCCUGCUUCCAAAAAUAAGACUUGUCUCCCUAAAGAGAUGAAAAGGAGGACAAUGUGGGUUGUGAAUCAAAAUACAAGGCCUCCUCCCCCUUUAUGAAUAAAUAAUGAGGUGCUGUCUCUGUGGAGGAGCCUCAGCCAGGAAGUGUUGACACCUUGGAUUUGCUGCCCGAACCGCCUCCGCCUCUCCAGGCCGGACUCAUCAGCCCGCUUGGAGCUCCGGGCCAUCGUCACUGUUGUUCAUCAGCCUAUUUGUGUGCCUUCAUCCCCACCCCCUCUUCAAUUGUCACCCUCCUCCUUGCCCCCACCCUCUUGAUUCCUCUCACGAGCUGCUCUCUUAACACUGAAUUUUUCAUCAGCAGCCACCUGCUGCCCCCCACAUACAACACCCCCACCCCACAUGCCACAAGAAAGUAAAGCUGACGUAAAGACGACCAGCAAUGAGCUCAUUUUGACACAAUUGGGUCUUGAACUCAUUUUCAGAACAGCAAACCAACACUGCCAGACAUAUUUGAGCAUUUGGACGGAUUUUUCCGGUCUGAUUUCAGCCUCUCAGCAAUAAAUAUCCUCCGAUAUGUUUCGUCCUCUGUAAAGACUGGCUGAUUAUCUUUGCGUUCAAUCAAAACGAGAUGUUUACAAACAUCCACUUUUAUUUUGAAAAACAGCGUUUUUUGACACGAUACGGACCAAACCAUGAUAACUUUCAUUUUGCAACUUUAGGUAACUAGUAGCCCUUCACAUUGAUCAUUAGCCAACAUGGCUCACACAUGGUAAGUAAUCUUUCUGGCAUGAUGAUGGCAUCCCAGUUAGAAUUAUUUCCACAGCUGCUAAAAUCCCAGCAUUAUUUCAGUUGCCUUUUUAAGCUUCAUUGUUGUUCACGUUUUGAUUGAAAAGACUAUAAAGUUUGUUUGUGGUUGCUUCUGCAGUCAUCACAGGGACGGAAUGAGAUGUUGCUAAGUGCCUGUCGAUGAUGUCAUAUUUUACACGAAGAAGGAUACGACUUUUAUCGCUCAUUUUUGUAGUACUUCGUUCUCAGUAUUUGAUGAAAUCCCGGUACUCCUUCUUUCGUUUUGUUUGGAACACUUAGCGCCACGGCGGACAUUUUGUAUCCUGUUACACUUUUUAUAUGUUUAUUUUUAAAAGUAGGACGGUAAGUGGAAGCUGAUGUGCAAUUGUUCAUUUUUGGUUGUCAUGUUAUCAUAAGAAGCUUGUUGUGUACAAAAUGUAGAAUAAAAACAUCUUCCUUGCUAACAUUGGUGUCGACAUCUUGUUGAUCAAGACCUGACAUUUACAUACAGGGGUUGGACAAAAUAAUGGAAACGUGAAACUUUUUGGCAUCAUAAUCAUUAAGAAUAAUUGUUAAAGAAUGGCAUGAGGAACAUU